UAUCUCUCCGUACGGGGAAGGAUGAGAAGCUUCGACUAAGGUUCGAUUCGAGCGCAGCGAGAAAGCGUUGCCGCAGGCAACGACCCGAAGGGCGAAACGCGCAG
Molecule: small RNA, 104 nt
Filed under: Salmonella enterica
Lineage: Bacteria; Pseudomonadati; Pseudomonadota; Gammaproteobacteria; Enterobacterales; Enterobacteriaceae
Description: partial RtT sRNA
Rfam family: RtT RNA
About the family: This family represents a bacterial cis-regulatory element known as RtT RNA. The exact function of RtT is unknown although it is thought that it may be involved in changing the cellular response in relation to amino acid starvation.
Source: RNAcentral